Molecule: ribosomal RNA, 249 nt
Filed under: uncultured archaeon
Lineage: Archaea
Description: partial 16S ribosomal RNA
Rfam family: Archaeal small subunit ribosomal RNA
Source: RNAcentral
GAGUAGUGGGGCUAAUUAGAGGGACUGCCGUCGCUGAGGCGGAGGAAGGAGGGGGCUACGGCAGGUCAGUAUGCCCCGAAACCCUCGGGCCACACGCGGGCUGCAAUGGUAAGGACAAUAAGUUCCUACUCCGAAAGGAGGAGGUAAUCUCCAAACCUUACCUCAGUUAUGAUUGAGGGCUGAAACUCGCCCUCAUGAAUAUGGAAUCCCUAGUAACCGCGUGUCACAAUCGCGCGGUGAAUACGUCCC